AGUGAAGCAAGAGGUCAGAUCCCCAGACGGAAAAUCAAUCUCCAAGAGUGGCUGGAUAGAAUUUCUAAUUCCCCAGUGCCACGACACGCAGUCUGUUUCCAGCCAAGGAGAAUGAGGCCCAGAGGCGUUAGCUUUCCCAACCCACUGUACAUGAUCAGGUUAAGCUGACACCCCUCCCUGCCUGGAGCACACAGUGUCUGACAGUCACACAGACAGGCACAGCGGUCCCAUGGUGAGGCCUUCCAACCUGCUUUUCUCAAGAUGAGGCCUCUGAGGCAUAGAGAAACUAAGUAAGUCACCCAAGGGGAGCUGCUUGAAGGGGUGAAGAGGCAUGUCUGAGUCCGGAUUUAAACCUUUCUCCUUGUGAUUCUGAAGCCGUGGGCUCUCUGUAUCUUAGGCUGAUAUAUCCUGUCUCAGAGGGAGAAGGUUUUGCUGGCCACAUCCCAUUGGGUAUUACGAAGAAAAUAUAGUUUCAGUAAUCAUAAAGUGACUUCACCAUGUACCAGCUGGAUGAUCAGGGGGCUGAUGGUGACAGAAUUCAAACUGAACUGGGCAAGGAAGGAGUAGAAAGUGGGCAAAUAGAGACCAAGAGUACAGGCAAUGCUUUGGCGAAACUUCACUCUAAAUAGAAGGAGAAAUACAGGAAGUAGCUGGAAGUAUAAAGUUAUGUGAAAAGAGGUGAGAUUUAAAUUCAGUUCUGACCCCAUGACUGAAUUCUGUAAGUUGCUGUUUCUGAACCACCUUAUACUGUUGUUUCUCUGUGUUUGCAUGCUAAUCCAUAAAUUCUGCCCUCUUUUUAUUAUGAUUUGCAACAGAAGCUACUCAAAUGAAGUUCAUCUAUAGAAAAAAGUUCUGGAGUUUUUGAGUAUGUCAUUGUAAAACUAAUUAUUUACUAAGUCUGUGUUAAGCACUAAAAUGUUCACAUACAGACAUUCCUGUAACCUGCUUUCAUCCUAGUAAGGCAUGUAAAAUGAAUUAAGUUUAGAGGAAAAGAGUUAGAGUUAAAGGGUAGUAUUAUUGUAAUUUAUGGGUGAGGAAUCUAGGAGUCAUUGAGACAUUCAUGGCAGAACUGGUACAAGAACCCAAGCCUUCUAAUUCCCAGUCCCUGUCCUUGCUAUUCUUCCAUGCUUUCCACAAGAAGGCAGGCAGGGUAUGAGUUACUGACAUCUGCUGCUUGAACCCAGAGCAACCACCAUCAAAACUUCCUCCUCUUAUAAUCAUUAAUAGUAACAGUAGUAGGUGAUAUGAUUUGGCUGUGUCCCCACCCAAAUCUCAUCUUGAAUUAUAGUUCCCAUAAUCCCCAUGUGUUGUGGGAGGACCUGGAAGGAGGUCAUUCAAUCAAGGGGGUGGUUGCCCUCAGGCUGUUCUUGUGAUAGUGAGUGACUUCUCAGGAGAUCUGACAGUUUUAUAAGGGGCUUUUUUCCUUUUUGCUCAGCACUUCUCUUACCUGCCACCAUGUGAAGAAGGAUGUGUUUGUUUCCCCUUCCAGCAUGAUUGUCUGUCUGAUGCUUCCCAUAUUUACAUUGAGUUUAAUCAGUUUGGGCAAGAACAUGGCAGAUAUGACGUUGUGUCCUCAUCGAUGCAUCAUAAAAGGAGACACGUGAUUUUACUACAUGUUAUUGCUGGUGUUGCUAACCUUCAUCACUUGGGUAAGGUGGUGUCUGCCAUAUCUAUUUACUGGAAAGUCAUUAUUUUCCUCUUCAUAUUAAUUAGAAUCUUGCGCUGAAAACCUCUGGGAUUAUGACAAUAUCCUGCUUCCCACUUUUACUCACUAAUUUUAACUUCGAUUGAUGGUUCUUGCCUGCAACAUUUAUCUCUGUAGUGUUUACCUAAUGAUUAUUUUCUAUUUCCAUUAUUUAUUCUAUAUUUAUUUAUUUAUUUAUUUUUGAGACGGUGUCUUGCUCUGUCGUCAGGCUGGAGUGCAGUAGCAUGAUCUUGGCUCACUGCAACCUCCGCCUUUCGAGUUCUCCUGCCUCAGCCUUCUGAGUAGCUGGGACUACAGGCACAAGCCACCACGCCCAACUAAUAUUUGUAUUUUUAGUAGAGACAGGGUUUUACCAUGUUGGCCAGGAAGUUCUCAAUCUCUUGGCUUCAUGAUCCUCCCGCCUCGGCCUCCCAAAGUGCUGGGAUUACAGGCGUGAUCUUCUACAUUUAUUAAUUGUAAGGCUACUGUUCUGACAGUGAAGAGGAAGACCUGUCCUUUCUUUCUCAUUUAUUUCCUUCUUCAGUAAUUUACUUAUGGAGUUAUUUACUUACCGACUUAUUUCAUGCUAUUACUGUUUAUUUUAUUCUGAGUAGGCCACUGAGAGAUUCUUAAAGCUAGUUCAAAUGUACUUUGAAAAUUCCUUGUGGAGUAACUUAUUUCUUUCUGGCACCAUAAUUUUACUGCCCCAACUCUAGACUUAGCCAACUUUUUAAGAAGUCCUGAUUACUUUUACUGGAGAAAUGGGAGAAUGGUAUUUAGAAUCCAGUAUCUGGGAGCUAGGUAUACACAUUGCUACUACGGUGUCAUUGCUUCCAGGCCACCUCAGCACAGAGAGGUAGGGAGCAUAUGCAUGUUUAUUCAUGCAUGAAUAUAUAUAUAUCUAUAUUUACUUAUAUAUAUAUAUAUAUAUAUAUAUAUACACACAACUGUGUGUGUUUAUACAUAUACACAUAUAUAAUCAUAAGUUGCUACUGACAUCUUCAGGUUCAUUCUAAGCUUCUCCUUUUCUCAUUUGUGAGGUACUUGGCUCUCAUUAUCCACAGUAUAUUGAUUUCUUCACUCAGUUGUAGCAUACACUUAAAGAGAUGUCAAUACAGCUAACCCAGAUAUCUAUGAAAAACAAAUUUACCAAUUAGAGUAUAAUAUUUAUGGAUGGUUAUUUUUCUCUUUAGCAAUAUCGUGUACAUCAAAAUAUUCUUUCCCAGAUUUACUUAGGUUCUUUUUUUUUUCCCAACCCCCUUUGUAAUACAGUAGGUUCAGUUUUUACUGUGUGUAUUUCAUUUUGUCCACCCCAGCAUACACAUAUAUCCUGGCUAUUUAUCUAUCAUCUAUUUAUCAAGCGAUUGGAGACAUGAGGCAUCACAAUGAUUCUAAGAGUUACAGUUAUAUAAAGAUGUAUACUCAGAGAAGCGUCAUUUCUUCCUGCUACCAUGUUCCCAUUCCCACAUUCCUUCCACCACAUUCCUACCAUACCCUGUAAGUAACCAAUCUUAUUAGUUUCUGGUUUAAACUUCCUGUAUUUCUUUUGCAAAAAUGAAUAGAUACACACGUAUUUCCUUAUGUCUUUCUUUUUACAUGAAAGGAAGUACAUUGUAAGUACUUUUCACACUCGAUUUUCUUCAAAAUAUUCUAGAAAUCACUCCAUAUCAGAUAUUAUCUUCAGUUUUACAGAUAAAGACACAGGUGUAAAGAGGUUAAGUAACUAGCUCAAGGUCCUAUGUCUAUUAAGGAGUAAGGAUGGGAUGUGAAUCUAAGAGGUUUUGACUCUAGAAUCCAUGCUCUUCCUUCUACAUCAAAGUUUCUUAUCCAUAGUUCUUGGGGAAUCUCUAGGUUCUUUAAGUUCUCUUACAUCAUUUAAAGAAUUAAUAUAUGUAUCUUCUGGAUCAUCCAGAUGACUAUCUUUUAAGCACUAACAGGCAUCUUUAUUGUCCAUAGGAUCUGAAAAUCCCCCAACAGCCCAAAGUGAAUGCUCUCAGUACAGUCACAGAAGGAAAGCUUUAGAGUAAACAGAGAUAGCAGUUACCUGGCUGUGGCCUUCGCUUGUAGUUCUGGGAAAGCAGCAUGGCCUUGUACCAUGUGGUCUAUCUGAAAAGUAAGAGAUGGGUCAAUUUUGUAGCUUCUUUAAUUUACAUAGGAGAUAGAAAAAUUUACAUUAAAACGAGUGUAUGUUUCUUUCAACUCUUUGUCCACACAGGAUCUAAGAACAUUAACAUGCCAAUGUGGCAAGUGUGCCUCAGCUAAAAUAAAUUUAGCUUUGAUUAACCUAGUGCUAGUGCUAGCCUCUUAAAUAUAUAAAACAAGGAAGUUUAGAGAGAAGAGUAAAAGGAAAUGAAAUUCCCAAGGCUAAACUGGUAAAAGCAGGUUAGCAACAGGCUCAAGAAUGAAGAGUAAGGAAGAAAGGGUAACUUAACUCAACUGGUGGGGGGUCUGAGUGUCAAAAGCACUAACCUUUUCUGGAUUACAUCAUCCAGGCUGUCAUCCCUGGGCAAUGUCAAACCGUGAAUUACUCACUGUGUCUUACUAAUGGAGAAGAUGGAUAAAGACUAUGUCCCUCAUUUAAAAAAAUUUUUUUGAAACCCUUAGUUAAGGAUAACAGAAAAGUGAGAUGGCCCAGAGCUGUCAGGAGAAACUCUUCUGACUGAAAAAUCAUCACAUGGGAAACACAGCUCUCCAAGGACAGAAAUAUCUGAGCUCUGAAGACAAUCAUCUUCUCAUUUGAAAUCCCAGGUCUAGGAUCUUAUUCCUUAAUCCACUUGGUGGCUCUAAACAAAAUAGUAUGAAAUAGGUAUUAGGACAGAGAUGUUUCUCCACGCACACCCAAGCAACACUGUGCUUGAAUUCCUGAACCUCAUCUGUGUAUUUUCUGAAUGUUUACUUGAGUUUCUAGGAUGCUAAAACAACCAUUCUGAUAGAGUUAUUUUCAUUCCAACUAGGAAAAGACUUGCUCUUUUGGCUUCACAGGGAUAGGCCCUCUGAGCAUGUUUCCUGAGAGCUAGGGCUGUAUAAAGAAGAAGAUUAUUUGUUCAGGAGCCACAGAGGCCAGGUGUGGGUUCUGGCUCGGAAUUUCACUAGCUGAGUGACUUUGUGCAAGUCACUAAACUGUUUUGAACCUUCAUGGCAUGCUUUUAAACAGGAUUUUGAGGAAGUUAAGUGUGUCUACUUGACAUGGUUUGUCUGUGUCCCCACCAAAAUCUCGUCUUGAAUUUUAGCUCCCAUAAUUCUCACAUGUUGUGGAACGGACCUGGUGGGAGACAAAUGAAUCAUGGAGGCAGUUUUCCCCAUAUUGGCCUUGUAGUAGUGAAUAAGUCUCAUCAGGUCUGAUGGUUUUAUAAGGGAUUUUCUCUUUGACUUGAUUCUCAUUUUCUCUUGCCUGCUGCCAUGUAAGACUUUCACCUUCUGCCAUGAUUAUGAGGCCUCCCCAAUCAUGUGGAACUAUGCGCCCAUUAAACCUCUUUUUCUUUAUAAAUUACUUAGUCUUGGGAAUGUCUCAAUAGGCAGUGUGAAAAUGGACUGAUACACUACUACAGUGCCAACAGUAGCAUAAACGAUAUCACGUGAAAGAUACUGACUCAUUUGCCAUAUAUCAGCACUAACUGAAGUCUUAUAUGCACAUUAUUCUAUUUUGUUUAUUCUUUAGACCACUCCUAUGAAGAAGAUACUAUUCUUCACUAUGGAGAUAAGGAAACUGAGCCUAAGGCCACAGAAAAGUAAUGACAAAUCUAGGUCUCAAACUGAGGCCUCUAUAUUUUAAGACCUUGUUCUUAACUACUAUGUCAUAUUGUCUACUGAACUUCCAGAUAUAAGUUUUAUACCAUUGGUGGAGUUUUUGUGGAAAUGUUUCAGAAUAAUAUCAAAGACACUGGUCAUUUCAAUGAAAAAAAUUCAUGCAGUUAUUGAAUAUUUAUUUUCUCUGGGUUCAACUUUACAUUACUGUGAUGAUGGAUACCUUCAUCACACUCUGGAUCCCCUGAGUUUGCAAUCCAUUGAGAACAUCAAGAUAAACUCACUGGGAACAGUAAUGGAUAAUUAAAGGCAUUACUUAAUUUGACACUUGUUUUUAUGGGAAGUGCUUUAGGAGUUCAGAGAAGAGAGAAGAAAAAGAUGGACUGGUGACAUAUUUUGGAGGUGGAACCCUCAGGACUUACUGAUGGAUUGGAUGCGAGGAGAAAGGGGAAAGGAAGAGUCAAGGAUUAAUCCUACUUUUUUCUCAUGUUUUGGCUUUAAUAAAAAUAUAAAUGAUGGUACUCUUUACCAAGAUAUAGAAAGAUAAUGCAGAAUCAACUUUGGGAAUGUAUCAGUCACUACAGUCAGAAAAUGCAGUAAUUCUUGACUCCUUCCUCCCUCUGACUCCAAAGCAUCAAAUACACCUUCACUCAUUGAUAGCACUGCUACACUCCUUAACCCUUGGCCCCUUUCUUCUGUACACUUCACACCUAGUCCAUCAGGGUGUGAAGGUCAAGGUCAAGAUUUGAAGGUGGCUGUACCUUCAAAAUACAUCCAAAAUCUAAGCAUUCUUUACCAGCUCCAUUCCAUUAUCCUCUUCUCUUAGCUGACUUACUGCAAUAACCUCUUUCUGGCUUCUAUGCUUCCCUCCCUAUACUCUCAACCCAUAGUUAACAACACAGUAACCCCACAACAAUACAGUAGGCAACAAUAAAAAUGAUUCUUUGAAAACCUAAGUCAUCUCACAUCACUCCUCUGCUUGCUAUUCUCCAACAGUUUCCAUUUCACUCAGAGUAAAAACAAUUACUGUGGUCAAUAAUGUAGACCCUAUUACCUCUCUGAACUUGUUCCCUGCAACUCUCAUUUUGGUUCUCUCUGCCCCAUCCAUUAUGACCUUCUUGCUAUUCUCAUAAUAUCCCAGGCAAGCAACCCUUUUCAGAAUCUUUACAGUGGUUUUUCCCUUGACCUGGUAUAUUCUUCCCCUAGGUUUCAAAAUGGCUAAAUUCCUUCCUUUCCUCAUUCUUUGUUCAAAUGUCACAUGAGUGAGGUCUGCCCUGACCACCCUAUUUAAAACUGCAACCUUCAUACCAUAAUUGUGGUUUAUUAUCAUAAAAUUGAAUUUAUUUCUUUAUCAUUUAUAUAUUUGUGUAUAUAUUUGAUUUUUUUUUUUUUUUUUUUUUUGAGACGGUUUCGCUCUUGUUACCCAGGCUGGAGUGCAAUGGCGUGAUCUCAGCUCACCGCAACCUCCACCUCCUGGGUUCAGGCAAUUCUCCUGCCUCAGCCUCCUGAGCAGCUGGGAUUACAGGCAUGCGCCACUGUGCCCAGCUAAUUUUUUUGUAUUUUUAGUACAGAUGGGAUUUCACCAUGUUGACCAGAAUGGUCUUGAUCUCUCGACCUCAUGAUCCACCUGCCUCGGCCUCCCAAAGUGCUGGAAUUACAGGCGUGAGCCACUGCUCCCAGCCUUAAUUUUAUUUAUUUAAUAAAUAUAUAUAUUUGUGUAUAUGUUUAUUAUCUAUGUAAUUUUGGUAUACAUACCAUAAAAUUAAAUUUAUUUAUUUAUUGUGUAUUAUCUGUCUCCUCCUGUUAGAAUGUAAGCUUGAGAAAGGUACAGAAGUCUUGGCAGGGUGUAGGAGGCUGCAGGAGGGGCUGUUUUACUCACUGCUCUUUUCUCACUCAGAACAGUACCUCAAAUAUAGUAAGCACUCGGUAAAUACUGGCUGUAUAAAUAAACAUCAUUCUAAAGAAUUCAGACUUUAUUCUAACGACAACUGAAGAGCUAUCACGAGUGACAGACUCAUAACUAUGUUUCAGAAAGACUUCUAUAGUUACAAUGCAAGAGCAAGAUUAGAGGGGGAAAGAUUAGAGGCAAGAAGCCAAUUAGGAAGUUGUGCAGCAAUCCAGAUGAGUAAACAAAAAAUACAGCAAAAGCCAGGGCAGGAAGAGGGAACAGGGAGACAUUUGUUAAUGCAGAGUUAGUCUUUGUAUCCAUGAAGUCAUUCUAACUAGCAAAUGUGAAAUGCUGGGGACACACCUACAUCUGUCCACAGGGCUUGUCAAUACUGAUGCAUAUACAUCUUUCUCCCAUGGACUUACAAAGCCUGCCAACUGUAUUUGCUUCAAGAUGCUUAAAGAGAAUGUCAUGUUAACGGACAACAGUUGUUUCUCAAGGGAGUCUACAAGAGAACUGGAUGAAAAGCUCAGAAAUGCAACUCCACAGAAAUCAGAUUCAGUUCUGGAAAGAUCUUGGGCCUCUGGUGGCCAAUUUGGUGGGUGUAUGUAUGACUGUGUGGCAUUGUUGAUACCAUAAACAAUGUACUACUGGAGCAGACACUCUCAGAUGUGGCUUAGUAAAGAAGUAUAUAUGCAACAAGGAACAAAAAAGAUGCAGCUUUCUCUUAUCAUUUCCUAUGUGACAACAAUGUGUUUAAAACCAGAGACUAUAAUUUACAAGAGAAUAAACAAGAAUUAGUCAACGGUAAUGAAAGGUGAGUAGUAAAUAAACCAUAUUAAAAAGCCAUCAAUGGUGGGUGAGGAGUCUCUCCAGCUGUGAUUGCUACCUUCACCUAAGUAUAAAAUACAGAUACUGACUGUAUCUAUAGGUAUAGUCAUAGGACUUUUGAGAGUAUUAAUAAAAUAAUACAUGAAAAGUUCUUAGAAUUAAGAUUGGAAACAAGUCUUCAAAAUAACAUUAGGCAUGGUAAUUAUGGCCGUCAUUCAAAGUUUAACAGAAUUAUGUGUAUAAAUCCCUCUAACAGAAAAAAAUUCAGAAAGCUACAAUUAUUACAAUUAACACUACCAUCACAAUAAUAUUUUUUUGUCUGUUUUAUAACUGGCAUCUCUCUCUUUGCGUGUCCUCUUUGGACUGAUGAUGGACAAUAUAAUUUGUUCUUGAUUCAAAUUUUGUUCCAUUGUGCUAGAUUUUGGAUUUCGUAAGAUUUCACUCUCUGUAACCUAUGAAUCAAUCAAGUCGCAUGCCUAUGUCCAAUGAAACUACGUUGCCCAAAAUGGAGCUCCGAAUGAAGCUUGACAGGUUGAUGGUGCAAUACUAAUGAAACAGAUAAAAGCUAACAAUUCCCAUGACUGCUGUCAAAAACCACAGCGGAAUAUUAUGAUUUGUUGGUGAUAGCAAUGAAGAGGUCCCAUUUUUUAUUUAAAUUCAGGCUUAUGAAAUAGGUAAAACCAAUUUUUGUCCACAAAGAUAUGUCAUAACAUUUGGAAUAAAAUGGAUUAUAUACAUGGCAGUGGAGGAAACUUUGAGCCAAAUGCUGGGGAAAAUAUUUCUGACUGAUAGGGAUGUUCGAUGUGUAUAUCAAGUCUCUGAAAACCUACUGAUGGACAGGUUCAUGACCAAUGCAUUCUGCACAAAUAAUUGGUUUACUGGAUCAUUUUCCUUAUUACAAAAAGCUUCUGGCUUGUGUCGUCUAUGAGUUCUGGGUCUCCUAAGGGUGAUUAUACUAUGAUCGGAGGUUUAAAAGGGCUAUAUUUCAGUCAUGGGUCCUCAAUGUGCCACAAAAAGAGAAAGAAUAUUUAACUUAAAAGUUGUCCAGGAACAGCUGGGGGAGGGGGAGGGGCCAAAAUGGCCCACUAGAAGCAGCAGCAGUCGGAGGCUCACAUCAAAAAGAACCAUAACAGCUUGCGAAUCCUGCAGCAGCAACGGAUGUAUCCAGAUUCUGUCAUCAGAACUGACUAGUUGGCUGGUGUGACACAUAGAGAGGAAGGAAGAGCU
Callithrix jacchus (white-tufted-ear marmoset) is the source of this 9374-nucleotide non-coding RNA. The record is from RefSeq and is a predicted model, not a curated record. Lineage: Eukaryota; Metazoa; Chordata; Mammalia; Primates; Cebidae.